GAUGAACGCUAGCUACAGGCUUAACACAUGCAAGUCGAGGGGCAGCAUGAACUUAGCUUGCUAAGUUUGAUGGCGACCGGCGCACGGGUGAGUAACGCGUAUCCAGCCUGCCCUUGUCCAUCGGAUAACCCGUCGAAAGGCGGACUAACACGGUAUGCAGUCCACAGCAGGCAUCUAACGUGGACGAAAUGUGAAGGAGAAGGAUGGGGAUGCGUCUGAUUAGCUUGUUGGCGGGGUAACGGCCCACCAAGGCGACGAUCAGUAGGGGUUCUGAGAGGAAGGUCCCCCACAUUGGAACUGAGACACGGUCCAAACUCCUACGGGAGGCAGCAGUGAGGAAUAUUGGUCAAUGGACGGAAGUCUGAACCAGCCAAGUAGCGUGCAGGAUGACGGCCCUAUGGGUUGUAAACUGCUUUUAUAUGGGGAUAAAGUGAGUCACGUGUGGCUUAUUGCAGGUACCAUAUGAAUAAGGACCGGCUAAUUCCGUGCCAGCAGCCGCAGUAA
Molecule: ribosomal RNA, 504 nt
Filed under: uncultured bacterium
Lineage: Bacteria
Description: partial 16S ribosomal RNA
Rfam family: Bacterial small subunit ribosomal RNA
Source: RNAcentral